AUGGAACAGUUACAGGGAUAUUUCUGGCAUAAUGCUCAAGGGUUGCUGCAGGAUGAGGGCCUCUUGUCUUGUGGCCCCCUGCCUGGAGGAGGACCUGGAGCUUUUAAAUUAGUGCUGGAACAUGGAGGGGCCAAGGUUGCAAGGAAUGAUUGGGCAGAAAAAAACAGUGAAGGAGCUGACACUAAGAAGGUGGGUAAUUUAGCUUCAGAGCUACGUGGCUCAACUGUGAUGCAUGGGACCUGGUGUGAGAGACACUGCACAGCGACACGUUGUGCAGUCGGCUGGCGGUAGAACCCUGAAUGAUUGCCGUGGUGGCAAGUAGAGGCUGCUAGCAAAAACAAGAUCAAGCUGGUGCUGCACUUUAUCACCUCAGCCAUCUGUUGGAUGGCUUAGAAAGCAGAGGGCCAUUUGCUAAGUGACAACUGAUGUCAUUUUAUUCUAAUGUUCAACCAAAGAAGAACUCUGCCAAGACGCAGACAAUAAUAACAUGCUAUUUUGCCACUUUUCAUCAAGCAAUUUGUGUGAUGUUUUGAAUCCCUUAAGUAUUAUUCUUGUGUUCUGUUUAUACUUUGAUAGCAUCUGUAGAGCAGGAAGUGUGUGCCUGAAUAUUAGAUGUCAUUUUAAGGAAAUUGUUCAUCAGAUCCAUUGUAGACAAAGUUUCACCUGGAUUUUUUUGGCUGCCAUUACGGUUACCUGUAACUUCUUCACCUCUCGUGCUCUCACCUGCUCUUGUGCCUUAGCUCAAACACCUGCCUGCUGAUGGCAUGUGGGUGCAUCUUGUGGUGCUGCCAGUGACUUGGAUUUGACCCUAGACUUAGACUACCUGGAGCUCCAAGCAGGUGGUCUGCACAUUUCAAAACCAUAGCUGAGUCCUUAG
RNAcentral lists this long non-coding RNA (877 nucleotides) under Canis lupus familiaris (dog). RNAcentral's name for it is "lncRNA (ENSCAFG00805002278.1, ENSCAFG00845008100.1)". Lineage: Eukaryota; Metazoa; Chordata; Mammalia; Carnivora; Canidae. The record is from RNAcentral.